CGUAGGUGAACCUGCGGAAGGAUCAUUAACAAAUCCUAGCCGUUGCCCCCUGCGGGGUAAUGGUGAAACACACCGUGCACUGGCGACCGGAGAUGGGAGCAAAGUCUCCACUCGGUUGAAAGGAGGUGCGCACCCGGUGUUGAAUCAGGUGGUGCACUUAAAUCAAUGGGAAUCAUUUUCAACCGCCCGCUGGGCCUCUAACCGAGUGCUCCCAUCUUUGGUUUUUUGUUUUUGACCUUUAUCGACUUGUAUCAUGUUUUUGGUAUGCUGCUGUGCAUUAAAAAGUAAUUGACAACUUCUGACGGUGGAUCUCUUGGCUCGUGCAUCGAUGAAGAACGCAGCAAGCUGCGAUACCUAGUGUGAAUUGCAGAAUUCAGUGAAUCAUCGAGUCUUUGAACGCAAAUGGCGCUCCCGGGGUCUCCUCGGGAGCAGGUCUGUCCGAGCGUCUGCCAACCAAAUGCAUUGUCACCAUGCCCGUGACAAGAGUGAGGAGCUGCGAAUGCAACCACCUGGUUACACUGCACUCCUUGAAAAAAGCUAGUCUGUGCAACACCACAUUGUGACAAGGCAGUCUCUCAGAAGACAGUCGUCACAACGGUAUAACAGGUUGUUUCGCUGUCUCUCGUUGAGCCUGCGACUUGUCCUUGUGUGUCUGCCAGCAUCAGGAUUGU
RNAcentral lists this unclassified non-coding RNA (671 nucleotides) under Thorectidae sp. QM G313051. RNAcentral's name for it is "sequence contains ITS1, 5.8S rRNA gene, ITS2". The stretch from base 294 to 448 matches the Rfam family "5.8S ribosomal RNA". Lineage: Eukaryota; Metazoa; Porifera; Demospongiae; Dictyoceratida; Thorectidae. The record is from RNAcentral.